GGGGGAGUUUAUCCUAUCCUCCUGGCUUCCUCCCAUCUUCUGUUUCCAAUUGGUCAAAAUUCAUCUCAUGAGGAGUUUACUCCUCUGCAAACACUCAUUGCAUCAUCCAGCCCCUCCUGAGGCCGUGCAAGAUACCAGAAGUGACAGGAGAAGCCAGAAAUACUGGGCAUGAAGUUGGUUGGUCGCAGCUAACGGAAGGGUUGCUGGCCAGCCCCAUGCAGCAGAACCAGUGGGUCCAAGAAGAAUCUGUUGGCAGUUGAAGUGUGGUAAGCAGCUGUGGAUACAGGAAGCAGACAAGAGAAUCUAAGAGGGCAAGUUAAAUGUAUCAGGCUCCAGGAUCCCAGAUGGCUGCAUCCUAAUAUCCUCAUCAUCGCAGAGGCUUAAUUAAAUGCCGUCAGACUGCCGAGGGCAGCAUUCUAAGACAGCCGCCAAAGUAGCUACUCCAAGACGGUCCUGAGUCUGGAGAGGCACCCGGGGUCACAGCAUUGUCUAUCUCUGUGUGGGGAAGAAAUCAGAAGCGCUCACUUAGCCAUUGUUAUGCAUAACAGGGAAGAGAGGAAAGAAGGCCUUCUGACUGAGAGACGCUUAGCUGUUCAGGACUCAAGGCGCAGGCGUUCUGGGAACAGCACUGAUUCAUUCGAGGACGUGCAGUCUAGUCAGUGAUGAGCAGCCUGGGGAGAUCUUCUCCAGGAGGAUGGGGAGCAAGAUCCACUUCCUGCCUUCUGGAAACGCUCGUCUUACUAUUGUUGCACCUUAGAUGCAAGAGGCAUGUGUCCUCGCCCUGGCCCUGCAGGGACCUGCUGUGUUCACCCUUCCCGCCCCG
This 823-nucleotide long non-coding RNA is filed under the name Equus caballus (horse). RNAcentral describes it as "lncRNA (ENSECAG00000045017.1)". Lineage: Eukaryota; Metazoa; Chordata; Mammalia; Perissodactyla; Equidae. The record is from RNAcentral.